AUGCACGCUGGCGGCGUGCUUAACCCCUGCCAGUCGAACGGAAAGGCUCCUGCUUGCAGGGGUACUCGAGUGGCGAACGGGUGAGUAACACGUGGGUGAUCUGCCCUGCACUUCGGGAUAAGCCUGGGAAACUGGGUCUAAUACCGGAUAGGACGAUGGUUUGGAUGCCAUUGUGGAAAGUUUUUUCGGUGUGGGAUGAGCUCGCGGCCUAUCAGCUUGUUGGUGGGGUAAUGGCCUACCAAGGCGUCGACGGGUAGCCGGCCUGAGAGGGUGUACGGCCACAUUGGGACUGAGAUACGGCCCAGACUCCUACGGGAGGCAGCAGUGGGGAAUAUUGCACAAUGGGCGCAAGCCUGAUGCAGCGACGCCGCGUGGGGGAUGACGGCCUUCGGGUUGUAAACUCCUUUCGCUAGGGACGAAGCGCAAGUGACGGUACCUGGAGAAGAAGCACCGGCUAACUACGUG
RNAcentral lists this ribosomal RNA (465 nucleotides) under uncultured bacterium. Its description in RNAcentral is "partial 16S ribosomal RNA". It matches the Rfam family "Bacterial small subunit ribosomal RNA", at positions 29 to 507 of the family's 1533-position model. The record is from RNAcentral.